RNAcentral lists this non-coding RNA (184 nucleotides) under Thermodesulfatator autotrophicus. RNAcentral's name for it is "6S RNA". It matches the Rfam family "6S / SsrS RNA". Rfam says of the family: E. coli 6S RNA was the first non coding RNA to be sequenced, but its function was unknown until recently. It consists of 184 nucleotides that fold into an extended hairpin structure with a large single-stranded internal bulge. The record is from RNAcentral. Lineage: Bacteria; Pseudomonadati; Thermodesulfobacteriota; Thermodesulfobacteria; Thermodesulfobacteriales; Thermodesulfatatoraceae.
GGUUCCCUGGGGUGCGCGUGAUUAACCAAUUAGCCCGCCGAGCCAACAGCGAGACCAAGGGGAGGCUCCUCUCCUUCCGGAGGUAUGCUCCGCUUCGGCGGAGAAACCGCAAGGAAGGACGAGCCGCCCACUUAAAAAGUGAGGGUCUCGUGCGGGCCGGUUAACACGGCACCCUGGGGCUUAA